Cucumis sativus (cucumber) is the source of this 357-nucleotide long non-coding RNA. RefSeq lists it as uncharacterized. The record is from RefSeq and is a predicted model, not a curated record. The transcript has 2 exons. Lineage: Eukaryota; Viridiplantae; Streptophyta; Magnoliopsida; Cucurbitales; Cucurbitaceae.
GAAUUGAAUUCGUUGAAAUCAUUUACGCCGCUGUACGACGGGGAAUUCAGAAGAAUGUCUUUCAAGCUAGUAUAUCGGAGGUCAUCGCUGGCAUCGGAGUCUCUGGCGCUGGAGGAAUAGCGGGACAAUUUGAAAGAAGAAAGAAAAAGGGGUUGGAUUUGUUGAAGAUUCCAUGGAAUUAGGAGAUUGAAUCGGCCAAUUGAGGCUAUGGAUGGAUCUCAGAGUUUAUGUAUUCAUUAAGAUGCGGCCAAAAGUGAGAAUUUGGUGGGAGGAAAAAUGAAUGAUUCAAUUGUUUGUUACGCACAAAUUCAACUUAUACUUUUAUAUAUAUAUUCUACCAAUAAAAUAGUGAAAAAA